UAGAGUAGAGUGUAUAGGUAGCACGGAGAGUUUUGAUCUCUUUAGAUUAGGUUCAAUUCCUAUUAUUCUAG
RNAcentral lists this transfer RNA (71 nucleotides) under Phyllomys dasythrix (Drab Atlantic tree-rat). RNAcentral's name for it is "tRNA-Gln". It matches the Rfam family "tRNA". From Rfam's summary of the family: Transfer RNA (tRNA) molecules are approximately 80 nucleotides in length. Their secondary structure includes four short double-helical elements and three loops (D, anti-codon, and T loops). Further hydrogen bonds mediate the characteristic L-shaped molecular structure. tRNAs have two regions of fundamental functional importance: the anti-codon, which is responsible for specific mRNA codon recognition, and the 3' end, to which the tRNAs corresponding amino acid is attached (by aminoacyl-tRNA synthetases). tRNAs cope with the degeneracy of the genetic code in two manners: having more than one tRNA (with a specific anti-codon) for a particular amino acid; and 'wobble' base-pairing, i.e. permitting non-standard base-pairing at the 3rd anti-codon position. The record is from RNAcentral. Lineage: Eukaryota; Metazoa; Chordata; Mammalia; Rodentia; Echimyidae.